UUGCUUUGCGAUCUUUCUGUUCCAUGCCUACAGUAAGCACAAAAAGGCUGCUUUGAGUUGGUGCAAAUUAGCUCUUUUUGGUUAUUGUGGGGGCUAUAGGAGACAUGGGUAAUUGCUGCAUUUGCUUCCUUUUCUUCUGGGGUUUACUGACAUUUCAGAUAGUAAAUGAACAAUUCCUUUCCCCUACCGAUGUUUUCUGUUGGUUUUGGUUGAAGAAUCCUUGGAUGCUAAAUCCAUAUGCUUUGCUUGUGUUUUUUCCAGGCUCAGUUAUAUUGGUAUGGGCACGGGGGGAUGCUGUGGCAGCACAGACCUCUUCUCUGCACAAAGGGAGAUGAGGGAGGAGAGAGAGCCUGAAUCUGUGUGAUGCCCACAACAUCCCAUGGCCACAGGGUGCUGUGUCCCUGCCCUCUUCACCCUAGUUCCUGCUGCAACUGCUGAACACGGGGCACUGAGGAUCCCUCUUGGGAGCAUCCAGCUCGUUUUUUGCCCCCAGCACUGCUGCAGGCAUGGGGACACGUCAGUGGAGUGGAAAUGCGUGUAGGUGCAGCCAUUCUUUGCCAGUGGUGGGGAAGGAUGGAUGGGUGCUGAAGGGAACAGGGCUGCACAGCUCCUACAGGACUUUCUGCUUUGUUUGCAAGCAUCAAAUCUGCACAUUUUCUAUUGAGACCUUGGGCCUCACUUUACCUCCUGGGUUGACAUGGUAUCAGACACUGGCCAGUCCCAUGCUCCAGAGCAAGGGAGGGAAAAUCCAGCUCCUCUGCUGCCUCUAGGUAGUUUCCCUCUUAAUCCAGGCAUGCACAUAAAUGUCUGCUUACAUGCUCACAAAGAACCAGUGCUUGCCUGUGGCUGCAUGUACAUAGUGUGACAGGUUUUUUAGGCCUCAAGCAAUGCUAUCUGGAAGUGUGAAGUGAACCAGAUCAGGCCCUCUGAUGUAGAGGCGAAGCAGCUUUGUAUAACCAUGGUGUUUCAAUGGUGAAGUGUCUGGAUUCCAGGCCCAGAGCAUGAAAGACAAGAAUCCACAAGGCCUAAAAGCCCAGAUGUCACUGUAUAACCUCUGAAUGGUGAAAGUUCACUCUGCCUUGUCAUUGGACAGCAGGAAUGGAGAGUAGCUGUGAGGCUGGUGCAAUGAGUUGGUGGUUUGCAGGCCAGCUGCAGAAGCUCUGUGUUGGCUGGCAUGCCCACAUCCACUCAUGCAUUAUGCAAAGGCAGUAAACUGCAGAAGCACUGCUUGGCUCCUGGGGUUAUGAGUGCUGCAGAGUUCUUAGACCCUCAGCCAGACCUAUGGAGCCCUAACCCCAAACUGAUCAGUGGGGACAUAAUAAGCUUUUGAAGUUCUCCAGCCUGUCCAAGUUGUGGAGCAGGGUUGUGAACCUUGUCAUUCUCUGUGAGAAUGUUGCUUUUACAAUUAAAACCCACGCAAACCCUCAGCCCUCGCUACUGCUUGUGUUACCCCAGUGAGAUAUCUGACAUUUGAGACAGAAUGGGAAGUCAAAGAAUGCAAGGAAUUCAAUGACUCAACAUAGCUUUUAUUAUACCAUCCUACCGUUUAAUCCUAUGCAAUGUAAGAUUGUUUUACAGCAUGUGGCACAGUUCUGUGGGUUAAUUUGUAAGCAAACAGUUAUUCAAAUAGGAACUUUUUUUCUGUGCCUACAUAAACUUGUUAUCUGUUUGGCAGCAGGGGAUGCUGCAGAGAAAUGCACAUUUACAUUUUUGCAUUGAUGUUAUUUGCUUUUCCUGGAACAACUCAAUGGUGCACUGACUCUGGGACCCUACUACUGAACUUGACCUGGGAGUGGCGUGGAGAUAAGCCAAAUUCUAAGAGUAAAGGAGCCCUUUGUGUGGAGAUGCCAAUAUAUUAGGUCUCACUUUUAGGUCACAAACUUGUUAGGGUUUCUUUCAAAGUGAUGGAUUCUGCUGCUAAAAUUUCAUGAUGUCUGUUAAAUCAUAGAGUCGUGAACCAGUGCAUGUGCUGAAAAUGGUUUGCCAAGGGACCAUGAAGACAAGGCCUUGUGUCAGGAGAUUUCCAAAGCAAAUUGGAUUUUCCACACAGCAAUGGCUGUGUUUGAAGGUCUGUCAGUGGCCUGUAAAAUUCUCCACCAGUGAUAAUAAGACAGAAUUGCCAAGCACUGAAGCAAUGUCACAAGCAUUACAGAAUAAAUCGCUCCCACUCAGGACAUAAUAGCUUCUUGAUCAUCAGUCACAGAAUUAUCCCAACCAGCAACCAGACUGGAGGAGGCUGCUCCCUCUCCACUAGGAGAUUAUCUCAGAGCUCCUGGGCUAUGGUCAUUGCAGAGAGCCCAGUGGCUACUGGGAGAAUGGGGCCAAGCAGUUGGGUAGGUGGGCUUAUAGGUCGGAUGCAUAGAGAAGGGAACAACACAAUGGGUUGGGUUUCUGAGAAGUCCUCUGGGAUUAUCUGCUCAAGCUUGAGACCAAUGCCAGGACAAGCAUAUCCACAAAGUCAUCCUGUUUCCCAAAAGGACUGGGAAGAAGUUCGGCCUGCUUGCUCUAUCACAAGAAGAGUUGUGGAGGCUUUUCUUCCCUAGUUUGUUUUCUACAUCCGUUCUCUGUCUGGAUGUCAGUUGUACAUCAUCUACUGGGUGGGAAAUUCAGCAGCUGGUAUGCAGAUCCAUGAACAGUUUUUCUACCUUCUGUAUUGAGACCUGUGAAGACAGAACUCUUCAAUCACAAUAUUCUUCCCCCUUUAUCACAUGUAUUGAUAUAAGGAUCACAUCUAAGAGCAUUUCCAACAGGCUACUAGAGUCACUGAAGCAGAAUAACCUUUAGCCCAGCUCCUUUGACAGUGCUGGUGAUACAGGAAGGAUGAUUUGGUUCAUUACAUAGCAUCCUUAACUGCAAUGGCUUGCUAAGCAUCUCAGCAUGGAGCCAAGAGGUCGGGUGUUGAACUUGAACUUACACCCAAUGCUAACAGAUGGGGAAAGAGCCAGUUGUGAUGGCAGUAUGUUUUAAUGAUGAAGUCAUCUACAGUGUCUGUUAAGAUGACUGCUGUCACAAGCAUGAGAAAAUAAAUUAGAAGCUAAAAGCCCCAAGGAAGACCUCUCAGAAAAUAGUCUCAGUCCCAGCGGUUUGGCCAGCUUUCUGGCUGUUUUCAUUAAGGACUCUUAUAUGAUGGAGGAGGUAUGAAAUGAAAGUUCUGUAUUUUCAGAGCAGAUAACACCAUCAGUCUUGAGAUAUGAGACUUGGGUCUUGAAAGGCUUAGAUUUAAAAUCAUGUUUACUUUCAUUAUUGAACACUUGGUUUCUGUUAAAGCAUGAUGUAGAAGUACUUUUUGACCUCUACAAAGACUCAUGUUAUCUUGAAAUGAGGGUGUUCUAGCUUUUCUCUUGCGGUUCCUGAGAAGCAGGAGGAGUAUCCAGGGGACCCAGGAUGUCAUCUCUACCUGCCCUACCAUCUUCUGUGACAGCAGGCCAGCUCUUAAACCUUUGUUUAUUCCCCUGUACAGUGGUGUAAUGAUGCUUCAUGAUGACGAGGAAGGCAAUGGCUUUGUGAGAGACUGAAGCUUCCGGAUAGGAUCUGCAACGCUCAGGUUCAGAAGAGAACUAUGCAGCUGGCUCAAAGCAAGCUGGGCUUGCUGGAAACCAAAGGUAAAACAUCCACAGUCUUCCCGCAGAGUGCAUAAACCGUGUUUGUGGUUACACCGUAGCAGCAGGAGCAACUCUUCUGUGUCUCAGAGAGCUUAGUAGCUGUUCUGCCAUCUUUGCUCUUUGAAAUGUGAGAGCAAAAUUAAUUUCAGGAGAAGAAUAAAUGGAUUUAGAGCAAGGAUGAAUUUGGCUUCUAGUGCCACAGGAAUGCAAGAAAUCACCCAGCGAGAGAAAGAAGGCUAAACAAUGCAAACCUCUCAUAAAUCUGGGGAGAAAUUUUAAUCCAGAGUGCUUGCUGACCUUCACUGAUGCUCUCCUUCAUCUCACCAGUGUUUUAUUCUUCUUAAAUCCAGCCCCACCACUGGCAGACCUUCAGAGAAGUCGGUUCUUGCACAAACAGGAAGGCAGACUCCCUUCCCAUUAAUUGAGGUGGUGCUUCCAGUCCUCGGCCAGAGGACACAGGGGCAGGGAGGUGUUUGCUUCCAGGACCAGGACUGGAGGUGGUCUGGGAGAAAUACAUUUCCUGGGUGGGCAGAUCUGGCCCUUCCUGGGCAUCAGGUUCACAGCCAGCUAAGGGACAAACUGUCAUUUGACUGUCCUGGGAGGAACUGAUUUCUAUCCUGAAUAUACUUCGUGCUGUGCAACCAGGAGUGUUGGACCCCUCCAGAUGCCCUAUGAAUGCAUUUCUCAAAGACUGCCUGGGAGGAAACUCAAUCACGUUUCAGUUUAAUGAAGUGAUACACAAAGUGAUGAUGUCUGGAACUGACCUUGCUGGAUCUUCUCCUUCCCGCUAUGACUGCCAUAACUCCCGCAGCAGCUGAGAUUGCUCAGACAUCUGCAGCUCCACAUUGAGCCUCACUGCUGGAUUUGGUCUUGUGUUACCUAGCUGAGAUGUGAUCCUGGCAGGUCUGGGUAGGGGCUGCCUCAUGCCAUGCUGGGAACAAUGCAGUGUGCCUGUUGGCAGCUCAACGGAAACCAACAGUGGAAUUACAGCAGACAAUGUAUGAUGGACCACAAAAGGCUUUGAAAGUUUUUUCCAUGGAAGGCCAGUCCAAUCCCAUUAUAAUCCACAGUACAUCUGCAAUGCGUAGGACUUGCUGGUAACGUGUAUAUGCAUUAUUCCUUUAAUAAAAGCAAAUGAUGGCAA
This is a long non-coding RNA of Meleagris gallopavo (turkey), 4746 nucleotides long. RefSeq lists it as uncharacterized. The record is from RefSeq and is a predicted model, not a curated record. Lineage: Eukaryota; Metazoa; Chordata; Aves; Galliformes; Phasianidae.